RNAcentral lists this ribosomal RNA (305 nucleotides) under Ulva paschima. RNAcentral's name for it is "eukaryotic LSU rRNA". The record is from RNAcentral. Lineage: Eukaryota; Viridiplantae; Chlorophyta; Ulvophyceae; Ulvales; Ulvaceae.
CGAAUCUUUGAACGCACAUUGCCGGUCGACUCUUCGGAGGAGACCACAUCUGCCUCAGCGUCGGGAUACCCCCUCACGCACAAUCGCGCGUGGAUCUGGCCCCCCCGGCCCCCCUCGCAGGGGACCGGGCCGGCUGAAAUGCAGAGGCCCGUGCGCGGCCCACUUGUGGCCCCGACUAGGUAGGUAGCUCGCUACUGCUAGGCGGCGGCUCGGUGCCGCGGACUCUGGGCCGCAAAGGAUACUCCCAUUCAUUCGACCUGAGUUCAGGUGAGGCUACCCGCUGAACUUAAGCAUAUCAAUAAGAA